Molecule: long non-coding RNA, 378 nt
Organism: Rhincodon typus (whale shark)
Lineage: Eukaryota; Metazoa; Chordata; Chondrichthyes; Orectolobiformes; Rhincodontidae
Exons: 3
Source: RefSeq, a predicted model, not a curated record
GCAAAGAGACGGUGAGUGAGGGAGGUUUCUUUUCAAAACAAAAAAAAAGCCACUUUCCACACAACACACUGGGCUCGAUCCACUCACCCGUGCCGACUUCUGACAGGGUCCAGACAGGAGGAAGCGGGCGAUCAGGAAAGAAAUGUCUCACAACCAGUUGGAGAAGAAUGGCAGAUAUUAGAUUCCUAACCCAAAUGAGGAAAAAUCGUGCUGAAGUUGGCUGAAAAGAACACAACACUCAUUUGGGAACCCAGAUAAUGGUACUAGUGGCAUGCAGAAAAUCUCUGCAAAGAAGAAGCCAGCAUUGCUGACCUUCAACACCACUUCCAUCUCUGAGGAGGAAGCCACGCAACCCUCAGAUGAUGCAGCAAUAAGGCU